Molecule: ribosomal RNA, 297 nt
Filed under: uncultured bacterium
Lineage: Bacteria
Description: partial 16S ribosomal RNA
Rfam family: Bacterial small subunit ribosomal RNA
Source: RNAcentral
GAUGAAUGCUGGCGGCGUGCCUAACACAUGCAAGUCGAGCGGUAACAGGUCUAGUUUACUAGAUGCUGACGAGCGGCGGACGGCUGAGUAACGCGUGGGAAUCUGCCCCAAAGUGAGGAAUAACUGCCCGAAAGGGUAGCUAAUACCGCAUAUGGUCUUCGGAUUAAAGUAUUUAUUACGCUUUGGGAGGAGCCCGCGUCGGAUUAGGUUGUUGGUAGGGUAAUGGCCUACCAAGCCGACGAUCCGUAGCUGGUCUGAGAGGAUGAUCAGCCAGACUGGGACUGAGACACGGCCCAG